Elaeis guineensis (African oil palm) is the source of this 107-nucleotide small nucleolar RNA. NCBI's taxonomy places the organism in Eukaryota, Viridiplantae, Streptophyta, Magnoliopsida, Arecales, Arecaceae. The record is from RefSeq and is a predicted model, not a curated record.
AGGCCAUGAUGUGGGCAUUGUCUCUGGGGAUCCUUGUAUCUCUCCCAGGCUUCAUAUAAAGACUCAUCAUCCCUUUGGCAAAAGAUAGCAAGAUCAUUGCGAAGCUU